Molecule: non-coding RNA, 283 nt
Filed under: Pediculus humanus corporis (human body louse)
Lineage: Eukaryota; Metazoa; Arthropoda; Insecta; Psocodea; Pediculidae
Source: RNAcentral
GCCGGGAGUGGUAGUAUACACCUGUAAUCCAACUACUCGGAGGUUAGGUAUAGAGGAUGUUUUAAAAGCGGGGAAUUCUGGGAUUCGAUUUUUCACGUUGACUAAACAUUCGCUAGGGAUUAAUCUUCGACAUGGAUUCAUUGGGGGAGCCCGAGGUAGCCCGGUUGAGUUGGAAAAGGGAAAAAAUCGGCCCAAAAGUUAUCGAGUUGAGAGUCGUCGGUUCAAAUUCUGAGAGCGAAAGUUCAAUUUCGGAUCUUCCAAACAAGAACAAAUUUGUACCUAA